CAACCCUCUACCUGGGGUAUUUGAGCCU
Molecule: small RNA, 28 nt
Filed under: Bombyx mori (domestic silkworm)
Lineage: Eukaryota; Metazoa; Arthropoda; Insecta; Lepidoptera; Bombycidae
Description: ovarian small RNA-12781
Source: RNAcentral